UCAAGUGCUCGAAACUACAGGCUCGAGUAACCCAAGUGAAACUUCAUACGUUCGAGAUAUAAGGCUGUUGGCCCGUAUGAACAAUAAAAUUUAAACAAUAAGUACAGUAAUGAGAUUGCAUAACAAAAUAAGAAAACUGUAAAGAGCGAAAAAUAAAUAAAUUUUACAUUGGAAACUUCUGGUUCCAUGAAUAAAGAAAACACACAGAACUUCUGGUCUAGUUAACUUCACAGAUAUGAUAAUCUUGAUAUUCGGAUCUCCUCUAGUUACACAAAAACGUAAUAUCAUAUAAGGUGAGGAACUUCGGGCCCUCGUAUAACUAGGGAUCACAAGAUGUGGUUCCGUCAUAUUAUAUAUGACUUUAAGGGACUUUUGGCCCUCCUUAAUUGCAAAAGCUUUGAGAAUCUUCAUAUCGUAAUUUCAUUAUAUUACUCUUUGAGGAACUUCAGGCCCUCCAUAGUUCGAUCAAAAGACUUCAGGUCUCGAUCUAUGAUCACACAAUUCACAACUAGGUGUAAGUGUGUAACCAUGAGUUUACUCUCAAAUAAUAAAAUUGAAACAUAUCUUGAAUCCAAAUGGGUCAAAUUGAUACAUACAAACAUGAAAUCAAAAGUCGAUAUUAGCAUCACAAUUGUCACACCCCAAUUUUUGAAAGGAAAUUUUCAAAAAUUUUGGCAUAAUAUCCCUUAAAAUAAAAUAAUCCCAAAACCUGUUUCAACAAAAUUUCAAGGAAACUAAACUCAAUGCGGAAAGUAAAAUUUACACACAACUCCAUAUUGAGUUAAAUAUUACAUUUCCUUGUUUACAAAAACUCGAGAGUCAAGAAAAUGAGACACUCACAUGAGUUUAAUAUUGUCUAUCCCAAUGUAUAUAUAAAAAUAAAUAUAUACAAUGAACAACCAAAACCCAACAAAAAACCCUGCCACUAAGCCUCCACCUCAACCCUGCUGAUCCUCACCUGCAGAUCUAACCCCUACACCAAGAAUUGGUGCACCGGGUUGUAAACAACAAACCCGGUAAGCUAAAAAGCUCGUAUGAGUAAACUCAAAAAUAACACAACAUUUAUCACAUCCAAUAUUCUCAACAACACAAUAUCACAUUAUUAUUCUCAACAACACAAUAUCACAUCAUUAAUUCUAUCAUUUCACAUGGAAAUAUUUACCUGAACAAAAUAUAGAUAUUCCACAAGAAUAAUCUAUAAAUAAUCAAUAAACUCAUGAUCACAUGAAUCUCAAAAUAGCACAUAAAGAAAACUUGUUUUACCUUACCUUUGAGCCGUUGGCGAUCAAACUCAUAUAUUUUUAAAAACAAUUAAAAACAUAAUAUUAAAUCCAACAUCAUCAUCAUUAUCAUCAUCACAUGACCAUAAUUAAAUUUGGUUCAAAAGUGAAGCUUGGUGAGUUUUACUCACCUAGAAAUCCUGUUGCAAAACCCCCAACACAACGAAGGCAAGCCAAUCACAAAAUCACAAAUCACCUAAAAUCACACAAUUAAAAACCUUAGAAACCAAGGUAUUAAAGAAUAACACAAUACCCUUAAACUAACCCUUAGCUCAAGGGAGGACAACUUCCCAAAGUCGUUGAACUCAACGACACAAUAGAGCUGCCUCAACUCUUCAAAACCUAAACUCUAAUCCAACCAAAUCAACACCAAUAAACCUAAGUCCUAGCAUGCCAACAUUUCUUAAAAACUAGCCACACUACCACUCAACAAGCUCACAGCAGAAGGACUACCUAACCACAGGAAACUAGGGUUGCAACUCAGCCGGACGCGCUGCCACGCGCCGCCACAGGCGGCGGCGAGUGGGCCCCAAGCGCCACCCCAAACUUUCGAAUUUGAGAAAACUCCCAACAGCAAAGUUGAAGCUUGAACCAAGGGAAACAACUUUCAUACCUGAGACUUCGACCAAUUUUGGCCGGAACCUGCCGGAAACCGUCCCAAACCGUGACCAGAAAAUCAAUUCCAAAACCUGCAAAAUCAGCCUCAAAACCUUAAAAACUUGCUUCAAUCUAUGCCUAGACACUACUAGGAGGAAGAGGGGAUCAAGACUCACCUAAGGACGCCCUUCGUCGCCGCCGUAUACGGCGGUUCCGACCGGUGGCACAGUAGCCCCCUUUUCCGGCUGAAAGCGUCGUUUCCGGCGUCCCACACCGAGCAGCAGCUACCCAGCCUUGAAGAGGGCACCUGUGGGAGUCGAACGGGACCGACGGCGGUCCGAUUGGUGGCCAGACGGCGGAGCUAGCUCCGGUGGAAGGUUGGUUCUCGGGUGAGCUCGGGAGAGAAAGAGGGAGAAGAGAGAGAGAAGAGAGAAAAGUGAGGAAAGAGAGCAGAAAAAAAGAGGCUGACUUGUUUUUUAGGGUUCCUAAAAACAUCUCACACACAUUUUUCUACUUAUACUCUUUUCAAACCCGGAAACAAACUUUCUCUGAACAUAACUUUCUCAUACGACCUCCGUUUUAGGCGUGCCGCAUGUCUACGAACUCGUAUCGACAAACUCUACAACUUUCGUGAAGGAAGUUUUCGAAGAUAACUUACGGAAAAUAAAGUCAACUUUUGGCCUCUCAAAAGUCAAAGCACUUUAAAUAAACUCCCGAAACUUCAACUUCACAUAACCCCAAGAAUUUCUAUAAAUAAUCCUUCAUUAAAUAACACUACCAGAAGAAAGACUUUAGACCGAGAAAAAAAAAAACCAGGCCGACGAAUCAAUUUUUCGUCGGCUAAAGUACACUUUAGCCGACGAAAUUUUCCUUCAUUGGCUAAAUUAUAUUUUCGUCGGCUAUAGUCGA
This 2786-nucleotide long non-coding RNA is filed under the name Fragaria vesca (wild strawberry). RNAcentral's name for it is "long non-coding RNA (FVES_LNC001028)". Lineage: Eukaryota; Viridiplantae; Streptophyta; Magnoliopsida; Rosales; Rosaceae. The record is from RNAcentral.